Molecule: long non-coding RNA, 1436 nt
Organism: Tripterygium wilfordii
Lineage: Eukaryota; Viridiplantae; Streptophyta; Magnoliopsida; Celastrales; Celastraceae
Exons: 3
Source: RefSeq, a predicted model, not a curated record
UAGAUGCAGCAUUUCCUGAUUGAUGACCCCGCUGGGAGUUUGGUAGUCUGUUCUGUUUUGAGUUGCAGCUACAAUACUUUUCUCAUCAGGUCCUGGCAGCGCAAGCCUUGCACUGCAUUUCAAAUUUUGUCAGAAAUGCAAGAUGAUGAAGUGUCAGUAGUCGGACACACUCCACACUUUUCAGGCCCAAUCCCCUUAUGCUUAGCAGAUACUCUCUACAAGAAUUAAUUGUCUUAGCAAUACUGUCAGAGUUUAUCUCGGCAGACUUCUACAAAAUAUUAGAGUGCUCCAGUUCGUUUUAAUCCUUUGACGAGGCUUGGAUUGUAAUUUUUUUUGGUUCAUGGAUCAGUUGAGGCUUACACAGUAUGUAUACAGGUAAGAAAUUUCUUUGACACAACUAUAAUCCUACAGGUUCUAUGAUCCCCCGUGUUCCUCCAUAAAAUGUGCUUAAUGAAUGUCUCCAUGAAAAGCUUUACAGUUUCCAGUUGGGGAGUGCUCCAAUGGUAGAGAGAGGUUUGUGGUUGGAUAUGAGGUUUCUCUACGGUCUUUGUUUAUUGUAAUUUGUGAGAGGGCAGAAGUGGAUACGCAGUAUGUAUGUGAGCUAAAACCUAGCUAAUACGAGGGCUCAACAGUACUUAUGAUAGUUAAUUGUGAAUGAAUAGACAUUGCCAAAUCAAAGAUAUUUCUUGCCCGAAGUUCUUCCAGCUUCCCCACUCUCUAAACCAACAUUCCCAAACUUUCAUUGUACUUCUUUUCAUUAAAAAAAUCAUCAUAAUACUUCUAAUGCCUCAUACUAUAUAUGGCCUCUCUGUAUCAUUGUCUUCUCCUGCAUCCAUUCCUAAAAUAAAUAGACAGCAGGGAAUCUCAAGUGAGAAGUACCCAUGGCAAAAAUGGAACCUUUUUUGACAAUUGAGGUUUGCUACUAUUCCAAUUAAAAAGAAGACAUAAGGGUGCAAAUGCUCUUUAAUGUGAACCAUAAGGCUGAUGAAACACUAUAAAGAUUUUUAAGGCAGGUUUGGUUGCAAAGGGAAUCACUCUUACCAAUGGGUGGGCUGAUUACUAGGAAAGAUUCACCGUAGAAGUCAGAAUGGCUCUAUUUGAGUUCUCUCCAGAAACAAAUUUUGUAUAGAACAUAUAACAACUAGAUGUGUAUAUCUAUAGAGAUUUAGAAAUUUCUGUGGUCUAGUGGUAAAGGGUGGUUACCAGUUACUGAUGGUUCGUUGAAUCCCUCAUCCCUGGCAUAAAAAACUACUUGGAAAUUUCGUUUCCUCCCUGUCUCAGAAUCUGGGUGGCGGUUUCGGGAUAGCCGAUGAUUGAGUUAUAUUACUAUCCUAAUAGGUCUGCUGCAUGUCAAUCAUGCAUUUAUGCAACAAAAUAAUCUGUCAUCUAUGUAUUUCAGUAACGAGAGGUACCAAGCCAAUUUUUGGAAAAUUGUA